This 494-nucleotide ribosomal RNA is filed under the name uncultured bacterium. RNAcentral describes it as "partial 16S ribosomal RNA". It matches the Rfam family "Bacterial small subunit ribosomal RNA", at positions 28 to 507 of the family's 1533-position model. The record is from RNAcentral.
GACGAACGCUGGCGGCGUGCUUAACACAUGCAAGUCGAACGGUGAAGCGCCUUCCUUUUUGGUUGGUGUGGAUGAGUGGCGAACGGGUGAGUAACACGUGAGUAACCUGCCCCCUUCUUCUGGAUAACCGCAUGAAAGUGUGGCUAAUACGGGAUAUUCUGUGUCUGUCGCAUGAUGGGUCUGUGUAAGCUAUUGUUUCUGUGGGGGAUGGGCUCGCGGCCUAUCAGCCUGUUGGUGGGGUGAUGGCCUACCAAGGCGGUGACGGGUAGCCGGCCUGAGAGGGUGGACGGUCACACUGGGACUGAGACACGGCCCAGACUCCUACGGGAGGCAGCAGUGGGGAAUAUUGCACAAUGGGCGCAAGCCUGAUGCAGCGACGCCGCGUGAGGGAUGGAGGCCUUCGGGUUGUGAACCUCUUUCGCCAGUGAAGCAGGCCUGCCUCGUUUGUGGGUGGGUUGACGGUAGCUGGAGAAGAAGCGCCGGCUAACUACGUG